GGGCAGCCUAAAUGCAGUCGAGCGAAUCAAUAGGAGCUUGCUCCUGUUGGUUAGCGGCGGACGGGUGAGUAACACGUGGGCAACCUGCCUGUAAGACUGGGAUAACACCGGGAAACCGGUGCUAAUACCGGAUAAUCCUUUUCCUCUCAUGAGGAAAAGCUGAAAGUCGGUUUCGGCUGACACUUACAGAUGGGCCCGCGGCGCAUUAGCUAGUUGGUGAGGUAACGGCUCACCAAGGCGACGAUGCGUAGCCGACCUGAGAGGGUGAUCGGCCACACUGGGACUGAGACACGGCCCAGACUCCUACGGGAGGCAGCAGUAGGGAAUCUUCCACAAUGGACGAAAGUCUGAUGGAGCAACGCCGCGUGAGCGAUGAAGGCCUUCGGGUCGUAAAGCUCUGUUGUUAGGGAAGAACAAGUACCGGAGUAACUGCCGGUACCUUGACGGUACCUAACCAGAAAGCCACGGCUAACUACGUGCCAGCAGCCGCGGUAAUACGUAGGUGGCAAGCGUUGUCCGGAAUUAUUGGGCGUAAAGCGCGCGCAGGCGGUCCUUUAAGUCUGAUGUGAAAGCCCACGGCUCAACCGUGGAGGGUCAUUGGAAACUGGGGGACUUGAGUACAGAAGAGGAAAGCGGAAUUCCACGUGUAGCGGUGAAAUGCGUAGAGAUGUGGAGGAACACCAGUGGCGAAGGCGGCUUUCUGGUCUGUAACUGACGCUGAGGCGCGAAAGCGUGGGGAGCAAACAGGAUUAGAUACCCUGGUAGUCCACGCCGUAAACGAUGAGUGCUAAGUGUUAGGGGGUUUCCGCCCCUUAGUGCUGCAGCUAACGCAUUAAGCACUCCGCCUGGGGAGUACGGCCGCAAGGCUGAAACUCAAAGGAAUUGACGGGGGCCCGCACAAGCGGUGGAGCAUGUGGGUUUAAUUCGAAGCAACGCGAAGAACCUUACCAGGUCUUGACAUCCUCUGACACUCCUAGAGAUAGGACGUUCCCCUUCGGGGGACAGAGUGACAGGUGGUGC
RNAcentral lists this ribosomal RNA (1020 nucleotides) under Bacillus sp. (in: firmicutes). RNAcentral's name for it is "bacterial SSU rRNA". It matches the Rfam family "Bacterial small subunit ribosomal RNA", at positions 44 to 1044 of the family's 1533-position model. The record is from RNAcentral. Lineage: Bacteria; Bacillati; Bacillota; Bacilli; Caryophanales; Bacillaceae.